CUUGGUCUACCUCAUCAUAAAAAGGAUUUCAAGGUAGCGUGCAAUUUUCCCCUUUAAUAUGAGAGAAGAAAAGGAGGAUGGUGAGGACAGCAUCCUUCCAGAAGAGCACAGUGGUCUCUGAAGCUGACAAGUUGUCCCCCAUGGGUACAGUGUGUCAGCUGCUCUGCUUCUCAAAUCUCCCUCUGCACAUGCCUUGGGGUCCACAGAGAACAUCUUCCUGGACAUGAUGAAAAAUGGAUUCCAGCCUCGUCGCGCCCGAUCUGCCGCCACCACAGCGCGUCCGCCUUGGCCACCGCCACGAGCUUUCUCUGGUCCCUUUCCCUUCGCUGACCUCGCCAGGCUCAGCCCGCCAGCGCCCCCGCCCGCCUCCCGCCCCACCAUGCCGC
RNAcentral lists this long non-coding RNA (386 nucleotides) under Heterocephalus glaber (naked mole-rat). RNAcentral's name for it is "lncRNA (ENSHGLG00100036892.1)". The record is from RNAcentral. Lineage: Eukaryota; Metazoa; Chordata; Mammalia; Rodentia; Bathyergidae.